UACGUAGGGACCAAGCGUUGUCCGGAUUUAUUGGGCGUAAAGAGCGUGUAGGCGGCCAGGGAGGUCCGUUGUGAAAACUCGAGGCUCAACCUCGAGACGCCGAUGGAAACCCCCUGGCUAGAGUCCGGAAGAGGAGAGUGGAAUUCCUGGUGUAGCGGUGAAAUGCGCAGAUAUCAGGAAGAACACCCGUGGCUAAGGCGGCUCUCUAGUACGGUACUGACGCUGAGACGCGAAAGCGUGGGGAGCGAACAGG
Molecule: ribosomal RNA, 253 nt
Filed under: uncultured bacterium
Lineage: Bacteria
Description: partial 16S ribosomal RNA
Rfam family: Bacterial small subunit ribosomal RNA
Source: RNAcentral